UCAGCAGCUAUUGGCGGAUGGAGCGGAAGGUGCUCCUGCAGCACUGUGGGCUCGUGCUUCAGCGACUAUUGGCUGAAGCGACGCAAGGUACUCCCGCAGCAGACUAUUGCUACUUUACUGAUCUGAGAACAUUGUGACUUGUGGAAUCAAGAUCUUACUGAUCUGGGAGCACUAGAAGCUUAGGGGAUCAUGAACAUUGUCACUUGAAAACCUUAUAGCAUGGAGGGAAUCAUAGCCAUUGCUACCUGAUUUGAAAACAUUGAAACCUAGGAGGAAUUAAGACAAUUGUUACCCUACUGAUCUGAGAACUUUGUAAUCUGGGAAGAGAAUGUUGUACUCCUGGGUGAUCUGAGAACAUCAUAAACUCAGAGGAUCAAGACUUUUGUUACUAUCCUGACCUGAAAACAUUGUAUCCCUGGGGGAUAAAGAGCACUGUUACCUGAUUAUCUGAGAACAUUGUAACCAGGGGUUAUAAAGACCACUGUUACCUGAUUGAUCUGAGAACAUUGUAACCAGGGGUUAUAAAGAGCACUGUUACCUGAUUAUCUGAGAACAUUGUAACCAGGGGUUAUAAAGACCACUGUUACCUGAUUAUCUGAGAACAUUGUAACCAGGGGUUAUACACUGUUACCUGAUUGAUCUGAGAACACUGUAACCAGGGGUUAUAAAGACCACUGUUACCUUACUGAUAGAAAGCAUUGUCACCUGGGGGGAUACAGACCAUUAUGACAUGAGUCAUCUGAGAAAAUUGUAACUUUGGGGGAUCAAGAAUACUGUUUCCUCACUGAUCAGAAAGCAUUGUGACCUGAGAGAAUCUAGAUCAUUGUUAUCUCUGUGAUACUUUAUAUAAGAAUUGUAACCUGGGUGGAUAAAGACCAUUGUUAUCUGACUGAUCUGAAAACAUUGUCACCUCCAGAGAUCAAAACCGUUGUUCCCUAGUUGAAAACAUUGUUACCCGGAAGGGAUCAAAACCAUUGUUACUAAUCUGAGAACACUGUGAUCUGAGAAUAUAAGAACCAUUGUUACCUGGCUAAUCUGAGAACUUGUAACUUGUGGGAUAAAGAAUAUUGUUACCUCAGUGAAUUAAGGACAUUGUUUCCUGUGAUCUGACAGCACCGUAACCUGUGCGGACCAAGACUAUUCUUACCAGGCUGACAUGAAAGCAUUGUUCCUUAGGGAAUCAAGGCCAUUGUUACCUAGGACAUUUGAGAACAUUGUAAUCUGGGGAUCAAGACAGUUGUUACCUAGGUCAUGGAAUAGCAUUGUUAUCUGGAAUAUCUAAGAACAUUGUUAUGUAAAGAAUCAAGAACUUUGUUACCCAGGGCAUGACAACAUUAUUACAUUGAGCAAUCAGAGAACAUUGUUACCUAAGGAAGCCAGAUCAUUGUUACCUGAAUGGCCUGAACAUAUUGUAUGUAACCUGGGGGAUCAAGACCAUUGUUACCUGAGAGAUCAGAGAUUGUUGUAACCUAGGAAACCUGAGAACAUUGUAACCUAGAACAUCUGAGAGCAGUGUUAUCUGGAGGAUCUGAAGGUAAUGAUUUGAGAACACAGUAACUCUGAGGAUUAGGACCAUUCUUACCUGGGACAUUGAGACCAUCGAGACCAUUGUAAGCCAGUGUUACUGAGCUAAGAACAGUGUAGCCUGGUUUAUCAAGACCAUUGUUACCUUGGGUAUUUGAAAGCAUUUUCUCCAAUUUUAUCAAAGCCAUUGUUUCUUGUGAGAUCUGCGAACAUGGUAACCUGAGAGAUCUGAGAGAUCUGAGAGCCUUGUUACCUGUGGAAUCAAGACCAUUGCCAGGGGCAUCUAAGAAUAUUGUCACUGAGGGAUCUGAGAAUACUGGAGCUUAAGGCAUCAAGACUAUUGUUCCGUGGCAGAUAAGAGAACAUAGGUACUUGGAGUCUUGGAAUAUCCGAGAAUACCUGGGUGAAAUGAAACUCUUGUUUCCUGUGAACUUGAGAGCUUUGUUACCUGGGAGAUCAAGACCAUUGUUCCCUGGCAGAUAUGUGGGGCACCUGAGACUUAUUACCUGGAGAAUAGGAGGCACUGUUAAAUAUUAAUUGGAGAGCUUGUCGUUUGGAGAAUCUGGCACCAUUGUCACCUGAAGGAUCUGAGGACACUCUAACCAGGAGGACCAGGACCAUAGCUAACUGAAUGAUCUGAGAACACUGUUACCUAUUGGAUCUGAGAAUGCUGUAAGGUGGAGGAUCAAGACCACUGUUAUCUGAGGCAUAUGAGAUCAUCAUAACCAGGAGGAUCGGAGAACAUUGUUAACCUGGGAAAUCUAAGAACAUUUUAAACUGUGGGAUUACAAUACUGCUCCCUGACAGAUUUAAAAGCAUUGCUGCCUGGGAUAUCUGAGGCAGUUGUUACCUGUAAAUAUAAGAGUGUUAUAAUGUGAGUGAUCUGAGACCAGUUACCUGGAAUAUGAAGACAGUUCUAUUUCCUGGAAAUCUGACACUAUUAGCAGAUGGAGGAUUUGGUAACAUUGCAACCUGGGGGAAUCAAAAUUAUUUUUAACUGGCAGACUGGAUAGCAUUGUAACCUGGGGUAUAUGAGGUUGUUACCUGGUAAUUAAGACUAUUGCUACCCGGAGAAUCUGAGACAAUUGAAACCUGUGAAUCUAGGAACAUUGUUAUCUGUAGGAUAUGAGACCAUUGUUACCUUGGGAUUUGAGAGUAUUGUAAUCUGAGUGCCUUAGAACAUUAUUACCUGAGGUAUAAAGACAAUUGCCACCUAGAAGGUCUGAAACCAUCGUCACCUUGAAGAUCUAAACUUUAUAACUUGGAGAAUGUAAAACUAUUCUUACUUUGGUGAUCCAAGAUCAUUGUUUUCAUAGACCUGAGACCACUGUUAACUGGGGAUUUGAGGCCAUUGUUACCUCUGGGGAUUUGAGGUCACUGUUGCCUAGGGAUUUGAGGCCAUCGUUAUCUGGGGACUGAGAUCACUGUUACCUGAGGAACUGAAAUCAUUGUAAACUGGAGGAUCAAUACUGUUGUUACUUGACAUAUCACUGCAUUGUUGCCUGGGAAUUUGAGAGCAUUAUAAACUGAUAAUCUAAAAGCAUUAUUAUCUUGGUUAUGAAGACAUUACCUAUGUGAUCUGAGACCAUUAUUACAUCUGUAAUUUGAGACCACUGGGACAUGGGGGUACAAGAUCACUAACUUGGAAUUCUGAAAACAUUAUAACUUAGGGGUGUCUUAGAACAUUGAUAUAUUGAAUAUGAAGCAGUUAUUACCUGAGGAAUCUAAGAGCACUAUAGCAUGGCUAUCAAUGACAUUGUUACCUUGAUGUUCUGAGACUACCGUGCCCUGGGCAAACUGAGGCCAUUAUUAUGUGGGGAUCUGAGGGAGAGCAUUGUAACCUGGGAUGCUGAGACAUCGCAUUUGACAACACUGUAACCUGGGCAACGCGAGGCCACUGCUACCUUGUCAUCUGAGAGCAUUGUUUCCUGAGGAGUCUGAGACCACUGUCAUCUGGGGAUUUGAGGGUGCUGUAAUCUAGGACAUCAGAGACCCCUGUUUUGUAGGUAUCUGAGACAGGUGACAACGCCAGGGAUCUGUGGCAUAGUUACCUGAGAGACACCCUCUUAUCUAUGUGAUCCGGGACUCACUCACAUGAGCUGUAUUGAGACCAUUUUUGCUGAGAGCGUUUGAUGCUAAAAGAGCUGAGAAUUUCUGUUCACUGGAUGAGUUGAGACCACUCUUUCCUUAGGAGCUAAAAACUGCUUUUGCUCAGAAGAACAGAGAUACCAUUUCCUGUCUGUCCUAAGAAGAAUGUUUCCUGAAUGACAGCUCUUUUGUUACCUGGGCAGCUGAUACCCCAUGGACUGGUCUGUACUAAGGACACAGCAAGUCGAAGUUCAGUUCUUUGCUUCCUAACCUGUUUCCCUUGUAUCAGAGGGGAUCUUAGCAUCCACUAGGCCUUGUCCAACUCCAGCACAUAGUCAACAUCCUUUGAAGACCUUCAGAAGCUUCAUGUGUUGGAGGUCCCUAUCGUAUUGAAGAGUGUGGGGACCCCUGUUCUCCUUGUGGUCCUUCUCUCUGUUAUACCUUCCCAGCCUUCAGGAGAGCUGACUACACACCUCCUGCCUAGCUCAACCCACACGCUCACAGAGUCAUGUGCAGCCAAGUGGCCACAGGCCCUUUGUGAAGAGUUUGCUAUACAGAGUGCCUGUGCUUUACAGAUGGUUUUUGGGACAUUUUAAUGCAGAACUUUGAUCUGGAAUCUUACCAGCUAACAAAUGCCAUGAGUGGAAAGGUGAAACAUCACAGUCUCUCAGCAGAACUCUGAUCCAGUGGCGCCCACACUGCCAGAGAACAUGUUCUGCUGGAACCCACGUCUCCUCUCUACCGCUCUCAUUGCAUCGUCGUUGAUCUUGGGAGAAGGGAGUCAGCUUCUUGAAACACACAACUGGCCCCUGGGUCCUGCUAAGAAGUUAGGUAGCUCAUGACCAUUUCAAAAGUGAUUCAGAACCAGAACAGAUAUUAUGCAAGUUCUUGGACACCUCCUUGGCUCAGAAGGAAUCCUUCCAGACCCACCCAAGCUGUUUGACAUACUAGUUAUUCCUUCUGGCUAGCUAGAAUGUCAUGGGAUGCACAGGUCAUCAUUUGCUGAACCCUGCAGCCAUGGAAGGAUAUGGCUUCCAGCCUUCUAUUACUAUUAGGAGCGUCUGUGAGCACUCAUGUGCAAGACUUUGUCUGCAUGUAAGUUUUUAACUCCAGUGAACGCUCAGUGAACCCAUGCAUGGACCACAUGGUGAUGCACGUUUUGUUUUAUGAGAAACAGCCUUACUCUCCCUUGGGGCAGAACUGUCUUACACACCUGUCUAUACAUCUCCUACUCUGGGAGCAAGAAUGGCUCAUGUGGUUAUGAAAGGGAAAGGGACAUGCUAGGGGUUUGAAAUGUUCAGACUCUUAGCUUCUGGUGAGGAGACGGAUAUACCAAGGUUCUUAUGUGAGCCAGCUAGAGCAUCACACUCUACGGGAGCAGCAGAGGACCAUGUCAGUGUCUUGUCUUUGCUGGGAAAGUGUUCUGUCAAGAUGAUGAUGUUGGAGAAGCGCAAUCAAAAACACAUAAGUCUGUCAUCAGUUACAAAUAGAAACCAACAGAAAAGCAGUAGAGGUGCCAUUUAAAAUGAGAUCAUGAAGAACAAUAUUGUGGCUCUUUUCUAAUCUUUGUAGUCUUGGUUGCUAAGAGUCCAGUCAUCUCGUGAAGGUCCCCUUGCCUGCCCCCUCACAGGGGAAAAGGAAGGCUUUUCUGUGUAGACCCUAAGUUGACCUUGCUCUGGCCCACAUCAAGGAACAGGACCACUCAGGGAAAUGUGCCUCAGACUUCAGGAUGGCUGUGGAGCAGCUCCUCCCCAGGGAAGCAGCAGGGAGUAGCUGGUGUAUAGAGAGCAAGAAGAUGGGAUUGGCAUCUUCUGAUGGGGACUUUGAGAUGGGAUACUUGGCUCACAUUGUGUGUGUACACAGAUGUGUGCAAGCUCAUGUGUAGUAGGGUGCACAUCUACAUAUAUGUGCAUGCAGAUGGAGGCCAGAGGAACCUAGGAUGGUGGUCCUCAGGCAUUGACCACUUUGAGAAUUUUUCUGUUUUGGUUUAGUUUUGGUUUUUUUGACAUAGGAUCUCUCUGAUCUGAAACUCUGCAAGCAGGUACAUUGAGUAGCCAAUGAGCUGUAGGGAUCUGCCUGUCUCUCUGACCCUUUUUGCUUUUCUCUGCCUCCUCUGCCCCUCACUGCCCCUUUCUACCUCUCUAUGCCCAUCUCUGCCCCUUUGUCCCCCUCUGCCUCUGCCCUCACCAACCCUGGGAUUGCGAGUGUGCACCAUCAAGUCUGGCGAUUUCAGAGGAUUGGAUCCACAUGAGCACUUCACCAGAGGUGCCGUCUGCCAGCUCAGCUCACCACUUUCUAAAAGCCACGUGUGAGAUCAGCCUUGCCAUUCCACCCAGACAGAUAUACCAGCUCCUGGCAACCAACCCUAUUGUCUCCAGAGAAGAUGGAUGGGAACAGAAGACUCUCCACCCGGAGCUUGCUUUAAAUGUGGCAACACUGGUCACUUGGGGUGGAGGACUACCUUUCACCUUAACUGCUGCUCAGAUCCUGCCCAGACACUGGUAGACCCGUUUUCCUGGCUAGAGGAAAGAGCGUUAAUGCUUUUAACCAGAAUAAUUUUGGGUGUCCUGUGACUCAAAAGCGGGAAAAUUGUUGUAAGCUCCAGGGAGCCGAGCAGAGCUCAGAUGGACUCCAGAUAAGUACCACCCCACCUAUGUCCGCUCCCGAGGGGGGACCUCCCCACCUUUCCCUCAUCCUGGGACUCCCCUCCCUCAAUUACCGGGAUCUAAGAGCAAAGUUCCCUCUAAACUUCUUAACUUUAUGUUCUGCUCUGCCAGCAUCCUGCCAGGUCUCCGCAAAAUCUGCAUCCUAGACAGCUUCAAAAUGGCUAUCCCUGGUGGUCCACCCUUACAGACCGCUUCAGCGAGGCCUGCACUUUCCUCGAUCCCAGCACCAGAGGGUCUCCCAGAGCCCAGACAGCAAGUGGAAGAGACACCUAUCUAUCCCAGGACUUGGCCAGCAUCCCAGCUUUCUCAGGUCCCCCAAAGAUGAUGAUGCCCCCAGACAAUAGUCUGGCGAACUGUGUCUAGAGAACACUGCACCCCCAUUUCUGCCCCUCCUGUUACCCCUUCCUAUUUCCUUACCUUUUUAUAAUAAACAAAAGGGAGGAAUGUUAAUUCCUGCCAUGACAGCGGCCUGCCCCUGCCUCCAAAGUUAGGUGUCAUCUGUCACCAGGUGCCUUUCCACCAUCAGCUGUGCGACAUGUGCACCCCUUAAAAGUGCUCGCCAGGCACAGCCCACUCUCUCAUCUUUCUUUUCCCUCUUGUCUCUUCCCUGUUCUCUGCCUGCCUGCCUCAUGCCCCCACUACAACAUGGCCUUUCACUCCCCCCUCCCCUAAUAAACCUCUCGCACUAACUUAA
Myodes glareolus (Bank vole) is the source of this 6972-nucleotide long non-coding RNA. RefSeq lists it as uncharacterized. The record is from RefSeq and is a predicted model, not a curated record. Lineage: Eukaryota; Metazoa; Chordata; Mammalia; Rodentia; Cricetidae.